GGAUUGCCCUAGUAACGGCGAGUGAAGCGGCAACAGCUCAAAUUUGAAAUCUGGCCCCGCGCGGGGCUCGAGUUGUAAUUUGCAGAGGAUGCUUCGGCGCCGGCCCCGGGCCAAGUCCCCUGGAAUGGGGCGUCCUAGAGGGUGAGAGCCCCGUACCCUCCCGGGUAGCCCCCGCCGUGUGAAGCUCCUUCGACGAGUCGAGUUGUUUGGGAAUGCAGCUCCAAGCGGGAGGUAAAUUCCUUCUAAAGCUAAAUACCGGCCAGAGACCGAUAGCGCACAAGUAGAGUGAUCGAAAGAUGAAAAGCACUUUGGAAAGAGAGUCAAAAAGCACGUGAAAUUGUUGAAAGGGAAGCUCUUGCGGCCAGACUUGCCGCGGCCGCGCAGCCGUCCCCCGGGGCGGCGUACCCGACCGCCGGCAGGCCAGCGUCGGUUCGGGCGGCCGGAUAAAGUCCCCGGGAACGUAGCUCCCCUCGGGGAGUGUUAUAGUCCGGGGUGCAAUGCGGCCAGCCCGGUCCGAGGCCCGCGCUCCCAGCGAGGACGCUGGCGUAAUGGCCGUAAGCGACCCGUCUUGAAACACGGACCAAGGAGUCUAACAUCUGUGCGAGUGUUCGGGCGUCAGACCCGCGCGCGCAAUGAAAGUGAACGGAGGUGGGAACCCCCGCGAGGGGCGCACCAUCGACCGAUCCUGAUGUCCUCGGAUGGAUUUGAGUAAGAGCAUAGCUGUUGGGACCCGAAAGAUGGUGAACUAUACCUGGAUAGGGUGAAGCCAGAGGAAACUCUGGUGGAGGCUCGCAGCGGUUCUGACGUGCAAAUCGAUCGUCAAAUCUUGGUAUAGGGGCGAAAGACUAAUCGAACU
RNAcentral lists this ribosomal RNA (856 nucleotides) under Enterographa pitardii. RNAcentral describes it as "LSU rRNA". It matches the Rfam family "Eukaryotic large subunit ribosomal RNA", at positions 72 to 941 of the family's 3401-position model. The record is from RNAcentral. Lineage: Eukaryota; Fungi; Ascomycota; Arthoniomycetes; Arthoniales; Roccellaceae.